GGUGGAGCAUGUGGUUUAAUUCGAAGCAACGCGAAGAACCUUACCUACUCUUGAAAUCCAGUGAACUUAGCAGAGAUGCUUUGGUGCCUUCGGGAACACUGAGACAGGUGCUGCAUGGCUGUCGUCAGCUCGUGUUGUGAAAUGUUGGGUUAAGUCCCGUAACGAGCGCAACCCCUAUCCUUAUUUGCCAGCGUGUUAUGACGGGGACUAUAAGGAGACUGCCGGUGACAAACCGGAGGAAGGCGGGGAUGACGUCAAGUCAUCAUGGCCCUUACGAGUAGGGCUACACACGUGCUACAAUGGACGGUACAGAGAGUCGCGAGACCG
RNAcentral lists this ribosomal RNA (327 nucleotides) under Diacronema lutheri. Its description in RNAcentral is "partial Bacterial small subunit ribosomal RNA". It matches the Rfam family "Bacterial small subunit ribosomal RNA", at positions 931 to 1257 of the family's 1533-position model. The record is from RNAcentral. Lineage: Eukaryota; Haptophyta; Pavlovophyceae; Pavlovales; Pavlovaceae.